UGUUUGCUGGGGUGCAGGGUGCUGGCGGGCACCCCUACCCCACAGUAUUGGGGUGUGCAGGAGCAGCAGGUGCUGGCUCAGCAAUUCCCCUGCUCUGAACUCCUUUGGGAGCUGGAUGUGCCCAGUCCUGCUCCCCUGGCCCUGCCGUGACCCGCAGUGAGGUUUGGAACAGACAGAGCCCCAGCAGCGCUGGCAGGAUGGGUGAUGCAGAGGUCACAUGUGAUGAUGUUACUUGUGCUGUUGCAUAAAUCAAGAGGAUUUUGGUGAGGGUAACGAGGGCAACUUGGGGCUCUGAGCUGGGCAGGAUGAGGCCUUGGAAGACUAAUUUCCCAUGUUGCACAGUCCAAGGGUGGGGUGUAUGGCCAGAUUUGGACCACAGAGGACCAUGGGGUCAGUCAGAGGGUGGCCCACGCUGAGGAGAGAGGUGGGCUGCAGUUCCCUCUGCCAGGCUCUCACCCCUCUGCCAGCUUUGCUUAAUUAUGGGAAAUCCUUUAAGCUUUCGCAUUAGUGCUGUAUUUAGGUCUGCACUGUAUUAGGGCUUGGCGUGGGGAGCAGAGUCAGUUUUCUCACUUAAUAAAGAAUGUUUUUAAGGCAUUUGUCAUUGUGGGCCCAGUGCUGUGAGCCAGGACGCUGGGGUGAGCAGGGUGGGUGCUGUGGGAGGUGAAGGUGCUGGGUUGGCUCUGUGACCUGCCACACUUGGCCCUGAACAGGUCCCAUCCCUUCCUGUAUCCUGCCAUGCAUUACCCUGCCCUCCCACCCUGAGCCUUGGGACAGACGGACUGGGUCUGCCUCGAUUACCCACCCAGCCGGGGGUACCUCAGGUUGUGCAUCCCGGGGCCGCAGCUGCUGACCUCCCAGCCCAUCUGCAUCAGCACAGCUGCUGGCAGAGCCCAGACACCCUCCCACAAGGCUCCAGGGCUGCUGUGCUGGCAGGAGGCCCAUCCUGCUGGCAGUAAAUGUGUGAUGGGAUGGUGAUCAGGGAUAAUGAGUCACGAAUGCCCACCGCUAGCCAGCCAGCCAGCCCGGCCGGUCCUGGGGCAGGGGUGCAGAGCACUGGCAGGAGAGGGGAGAGAUCUGCUGCCUCCCUUCUCUUCUGCCUCCCCCCACCUGCAGCCUCAUCGACCUGCAACUUCCACAGGGCACCAAAUGAUGGAGCAUCCCUCUGGCAGCACUCACACAGGACUGAGGCGACAGGUCUGCUCCCCUGGACCAGUGUAGGGGUGCAGUGGUCCCCCCAUAUCCCUGCUCACAGGUACCUGGCACUGCCACAGCUCUGCCCCCUGCUGUGGGACAGCUUGCCAAGGAUGGGACUAGAGGGCUGCCUGCCGAAAUGUGUAUCCCCUGGACUGCAAGUAGGUGAAGUUGGGGCUGGGCCAGCUCAGGGUAUGCUGCUGGGAGCCAGGAGAAGCAUCCGGGUUCCUCUUUCAGUGUGGAUUUUUCCUUUAAUCUCUUAAUUGUUGAGGCACCAGAGUAUUAGAUCCAGAUAUUGAGCUGCUGCUGCUGGUGGUGGCUAUGGCAAAUGCCCAUGCUCUCAUGGAGGGAACAGCUCAGCCCUUGGCUUGUGGGCAGGUGAGGAGCACUAGAGUGCUUUCCCUCCCUGCUUGGCCCCAUGAGUGGCACUUGAGCACUUUGCUCCUUGUCUCCAAACUGAGCCCUGCAGCCAUGCAAGGACCCUGUCCCAGAGAAAGCCAGGCUUCUGCACCAGACCAUGGCUGCUGAACAAAGGAAGGGUGACAAGCAACGUCCCUGGGCAAGCCCAGUGUGAGUGCACGUGGUUGGGGACUCAGCCCUGGCCUCUGGCAGCUGCCUUCCUUCUUCCCCUUCUCCCCAGACCUCUGCAGUGAGCAGGAAAAACAACAUUUUCUGGGAUUGCUGUGGAUCUGCUACAGAACCAACCCCAGGAGCAAAAGCAGCCCCAGCACAUCUCUCCCAAAAGCACUGCUGGGGUCCCCAGGGAGGGCCCCAGCCCCAGCCAGAAAUCAUUAGGUGGGGAAAGCUUUUAUUUUCUUUCCAUCUUUUCCUUCUCCAGGGCUGGGCUUGAUUAUUCCUUUCAGCAACACAAAGUGCUAGAGAGGCUCAGCAGCCAGAGAUCAAUUUUUUCUGCUCCUGACGCAAUGUCUCUGUGCAUGGGGAAGUGGCUUUUUCCUUCCCCUCCGCAUCCUGCUGAGACUUGGUGGGUGACACCAGGGGCGGUGGCAGCUGCCUUGCUGGCAGGAGGGUGACAGGGAACCCUGUGGAGCCACACAGCCCGGCCCUGUGCCAGCCGUCACCCGGUGCAGUGCUGAUGGAGGGCGUCAAAACCUUUCACUCAGGGCCACUGAAGAGCAAAGCUAUUGCUGGGAAAAAAAUCACAGCUCGGCUCAGACAUCAGUGCCAUUUCAAGGCACAGGACCCUCAGCUGCUGGCUCUGCUCCUGCUGUGACGUCCCUUCUCAGUCACCACGAGGCACUGGCUAAUGGAGGAUGAUUUUCUUUCUAGGGAACGUGAAAAAUUCGUCUCUGCAGGCCUAAUAUGUGAAGACCUCAUGUUUAAGUGAUUGGAACAUAGCGGUGGCACAAGGGAGAAGCUGCCACAUGUAUUGGUGAUUUGGCAAGGUCAAACCUGAGGAUAGUUCUGCCCUCUCAGCUUUGCAGAAGUUCAUGGAAGGCGGUACCCAAGGAGACUGUGCCAUGCUGGCAUCAUGUUGUGCAUGUGGAGGACAGGCCAGGAUUACAGCAGCUCGGACUGUGAAGGGCAGCGAGGAGAUAGCUCGACAUCAGGAGAAAACAGGAAGAUAAAUGACCCGUGAAACCGCAUUUCUGGCUGCAUCACCAGCUUCCUCACAGGGAGCAGUGACUCAUCACCACACCGAGACAUGGAGACUCGCUCGCCCGCCCCAGGGCAGGAUGCUGAUCCUGCAGCAGCAUCAGAGGGGAUGACCAGGGGAGAGGGCUGCUGCAGGGACAAGGGGCUGCAGGCAGUGAGUGUGGCAGGGUGUAGGAACAGCAUCUUCCUCUGUGCUGCUGCUCAGCAGCAACAACCAGCUCCUGGGCCAAGCUCUUCUAAAUGGCUGGUGAUCUGGUACCGUGCCUGGGAUGCUUCUCCUCCUAGAAAUCCCAGUAAUUUCCUUGUAUCAAUUAUAUUUCAGUGCAGUCCCACUUCUGCCUCAAAAUCAGUAAUUGCUUUGGAAAAUGUCCUUUGCCUUCUUUUUAAGUGCCAGCAUGCCUUUUGUUGCUCCUAAAGUAACAGCUGAAUACUGAGGAAUGGCAGAAAAUAUGAAAUGUCUGAGAAAGGUCCUCAGGAUUUGCCUCUGAGUCAUCUCUGCGCUGGCAGGAAAAGCUGGCAAAGAAGAAGAGUAUCUCUGCGGGUUGUGAAACAGCCCAAGAAUUAGGAGUCUGGGCCAGGUGGACACAUCCACUAUAACCUGGUGGGGCUGAGAUCAAAAGCUGUCAUUUGAGUUACGUGACUGGUGUGACAGGACCUCCUUGAAUGAGGUGUGAGCAGUCCCCAGUGCUCCAGCAGCCAUUCCAGCCCCCAGGAGCCAGUCCCUGCCCUGCAGCUUACACGCUGAACACCAUAAGGCACGGUAAGUGGAUUAGCAAAACCUCUGGAAGAGAGGAAGAAGAAAUGACAUUUGGUCUUAAGCUGGUUUUGCACGUAUUUACGCAAAUGAUGUGCCCAUCUAGACGGUAAGUGAGGUGAAAUCCAGGCUACCCCUGCUGCCCCGGCUCAGCAGCCUGCUGCAGGGCUCCUGGCAGGGAAGAGCCUGGUUUGUAUCUCGGGCAGACACAGUGAGUCAGAGCUGCGAGCCGAUCGAUGCUGACAGCUGGGACAGCCUGCGAGAGGCGGCAGCAGCCGGGCAGCAUCCAUGCUCUGGCUGUGGUGGGGAGGCUUUGGUGGCUGGGGAGGUGCUGCAGCCCCACACUGGCAUCCACAGGAGAUGCUCCAGUCUCCUCACUCCCCCCAGAGCUUGAGGAUGCUCUUCCAUCACCUCCCGGGGCUGGCUCUGCAGGGCAGGGCACUGCCCGCUCCUGUUCCUGCCCCCUUGUUGGGCACAGCACCAGGCAGGAUCCAUCUCUCCCACUGGUGAGAUGGGGAUUGCAAUUAUUACUGGCCCUUGCUUGUGCCAUCUGUCUGUUCUCUGAAGAUCCCUGCAGGAUCUCUGUCUUAGCAGGUUAAUUUAAUAAGGGCCUGCUUUAUUGUUGCUGGCUGCGGGCAUGGCGUAGAGCAGCUGAGUCCAUCAGCAGAGCUGCUCUGGCAGCAAUCGAAUCCUGCCCGGAUGCUCAUUUGGGAGGGUUGUUUUGCUGGGAAAGGGCAAACCCUCCUGGGGCAGCACCGAGGGCUGAGCCCUGCUCCUUUCUCCUUGGCAGGAGCAGUGGAGAAAGUGGCAGCAGAGAUUAAAUCAGGUCUUUGACCUGGGACGUGCCACACCUCACCGGGAUGAGGUGGUGAUAGGGAGUGGCAGCGGCGGUAUCGGCAGGAGGUGCCCUGUGUGGCUGGCUCAGGGCUUGGCCAUUUAUGGCAGAAGCAGCUAUUCCCAUCCGGAGUUUCAAAACCUUUUACAUCACCAGCUAUUUUUGCGGGUCGGGAUGUGUGGUGGGGCAGAAGGCGGUGAAGGAGCUGUGCGAAGAGUUUGAUGAAGGGAACGACUCCUCUUAAGGACAACAAACAACCUGGUGCACCUUGAGAUCAGUCUUUUUUUUUUUUUUCUCUUUUUUUUUUUUUUUCUCCCCAGCUCUAGAUACGUAUGAUGCUCAGGUAUAAAGUGCUGUAAGUUGGGAAAUAAAUCUUGGGAAUACAAAUUGAUACUCACUAUGUACCCACAGGAAAAAAUAUCCAGUUUCUCAAACCCGUGCCCACCUGCCUGGGCUUUUCCCCCAGCCCGGGAGGGAGGCUUUGCUGGUUAAGUCGAUUGCACAGAAAUGUGUUUGGCUUUUCUCCCGCUGUGCUCUUUGCCCCGUUCCUCUCCCGUAGUUCCUCUACCCAUCACAAACAUAAAGGACCAGCAGUGCCACAAAGACACGCACAUAAUGAAUCUAAGUGACCGUGUAAUCUCAUUAUUGUCACCCUCAUCCUCCCUUGCCCCUUUCCUCCCUCCCCCCAUUUGUCACUGUCACCGAUUGUGUCAUGGUUAAAAUUAGAUGGGAAGCUCCUCUGGGAGCAACCACGGCUUUCCUUUAUCCCGAGCACCAAGUGCAUUGCAACUACUCGUGAGUUCUAAUGGGGUUGAAGUAGGAGGCAGCCCGUUUUAAUGCUCACCUUUUUACAUUUUCGAGCUGAUUCACCAACCACACGAAAAUCCCCCAUCCAGGCAUAGCCACCUCAUUCCAGCAAUUCACUUGACAACACAAUUUUGGAGGCAGUGGCAAAGGAAGGAGAGGGGUUAUUGCUUACAUGUAAUAAAGAAGAAUCAAAUUUGGUGUAACUUAAGUAAGAUUUGUUCUGGAGGAUAAAAACCGUUACCGAGCUUUUCCCAUAAUGGACAUAUUCUCUUACUGGAAAGAAACUGAAUAAAAUAACGCUGUUUGUGAAAACAGCCACAA
Molecule: long non-coding RNA, 5522 nt
Organism: Myiozetetes cayanensis
Lineage: Eukaryota; Metazoa; Chordata; Aves; Passeriformes; Tyrannidae
Exons: 2
Source: RefSeq, a predicted model, not a curated record